CCCAGGACCCUGGGACCAUGACCUGAGCCGAAGGCAGAUGCUUAACCGACUGAGCCACCCAGGCGCCCCUCUUACCCCGUUGAGAACAAAUGGCAAAUACCUCUGAGGACUGAAGUUGCUCAAGGAUCUCUUACCAGAGAGAGCACACAGAAUUUUACGGUAGGGGGAGUCAUUCAGAGACUGCUAAGGCAGCAUGGUCCCCGUGACUGCUGUGUCUCCAUGAGGAGCCAAGUGCAGCAGGGCAAGGUAACCCACCUCUCCUUUGUGGGGGUACCAGCGACGAGGAGCCUGAGCCCGGAACCUCAUCUCCCAUGCUUACACCACAGGGGCGCAUCCUCUCGGGGACGCUCUAGAGCAUCUGGCCCCACACUCUUCCCCUUCAGGGUGAUGGCUGCCCAGAGCUCCCUACAGUGUUUGUAGUUAGGGCUCAAAGGCCCCCAAGCCGUCUUCCUCCUUUCUUCUACACUUCACCUUCUCCCAGCCUCUGCGCUACACCGAUGUGGCACCUGCCGAAAAUGGAGCUGAAGAGUUCUGAGAAGAAACCCUGGUCCCAGGACCCCUCAGUCCUCUCUCACUGGGCGUCCCAGCACUUGAAUCCCGGUCCUAUGUCCUACUGUGCUUGACCUGCCCAGCUGAGGAGACAAAGGAUGCCAGUGAGUGCGGCGAGUCGGCGGCAAGUUCAGUCAGUGUGCACAGCCGAGCGCACAGCUCCACGGCGGCUCCUGGCAGAGCAGGCGGGGGUCCUCCCAGUCACCAGAGAAGAUUUCACCAGUAAAAACCUGCAAACUCUUUAUUAAAUUCUCCCAUUUCAUCUGUACAGAAAAAAAUGCACAUUAUGUUCAGGAUCUCAGUAACAUUUCAAAAUUACACAGCAUGAACAUGUAAAAACAAGGAACUGCCGGGAUUUUAUACAUAGAAAGAAAAAUCAUUUACAAAAGAGGCUUGUUAAUUUUACUUUUUU
Molecule: long non-coding RNA, 961 nt
Organism: Callorhinus ursinus (northern fur seal)
Lineage: Eukaryota; Metazoa; Chordata; Mammalia; Carnivora; Otariidae
Source: RefSeq, a predicted model, not a curated record